RNAcentral lists this ribosomal RNA (497 nucleotides) under uncultured bacterium. RNAcentral's name for it is "partial 16S ribosomal RNA". It matches the Rfam family "Bacterial small subunit ribosomal RNA", at positions 28 to 507 of the family's 1533-position model. The record is from RNAcentral.
GAUGAACGCUGGCGGCGUGCCUAAUACAUGCAAGUCGAGCGAACGGACGAGAAGCUUGCUUCUCUGAUGUUAGCGGCGGACGGGUGAGUAACACGUGGAUAACCUACCUAUAAGACUGGGAUAACUUCGGGAAACCGUAGCUAAUACCGGAUAAUAUUUUGAACCGCAUGGUUCAAAAGUGAAAGACGGUCUUGCUGUCACUUAUAGAUGGAUCCGCGCUGCAUUAGCUAGUUGGUAAGGUAACGGCUUACCAAGGCAACGAUGCAUAGCCGACCUGAGAGUGUGAUCGGCCACACUGGAACUGAUACACGGUCCAGACUCCUACGGGAGGCAGCAGUAGGGAAUCUUCCGCAAUGGGCGAAAGCCUGACGGAGCAACGCCGCGUGAGUGAUGAAGGUCUUCGGAUCGUAAAACUCUGUUAUUAGGGAAGAACAUAUGUGUAAGUAACUGUGCACAUCUUGACGGUACCUAAUCAGAAAGCCACGGCUAACUACGUG